Molecule: ribosomal RNA, 695 nt
Filed under: uncultured Planctomycetia bacterium
Lineage: Bacteria; Pseudomonadati; Planctomycetota; Planctomycetia
Description: bacterial SSU rRNA
Rfam family: Bacterial small subunit ribosomal RNA
Source: RNAcentral
GGCAUGCAAGUCGAGCGAGGCCAGUUUGUAGCAAUACGAGCUGAGUCGAGCGGCGCAAGGGGCAGUAAUGCAUGGGUAACGUACCUCCGGGUCGCGGAUAGCCAUGGGAAACUAUGGGUAAUACGCGAUAAAGCCGAGAAGCCAAAGACUUGCCGCCCGGAGAGCGGCUCAUGUCGUAUUAGCUAGUUGGUGGGGUAACGGCCCACCAAGGCGAAGAUGCGUAGCGGGUGUGAGAGCACGACCCGCGCCACUGGCACUGAGACACUGGCCAGACACCUACGGGUGGCUGCAGUCGAGGAUCUUCGGCAAUGAGCGCAAGCUUGACCGAGCGACGCCGCGUGGAGGAUGAAGGCCUUCGGGUUGUAAACUCCUUUUGUGGGGGAGGAAAUUUCUGACCUAUCCCAUGAAUAAGCACGGGCUAAGUUCGUGCCAGCAGCCGCGGUAAGACGAACCGUGCGAACGUUGUUCGGAAUCACUGGGCUUAAAGGGCGCGUAGGUGGCUAGCCAAGUCGGGGGUGAAAUCUUUCGGCUCAACCGGAAAAUUGCCCCCGAUACUGGAAGGCUCGAGGGAGAUAGAGGCGACGGGAACUACCAGUGGAGCGGUGAAAUGCGUUGAUAUUGGUAGGAACGCCAGAGCCGAAGGGGCGUCGCUGGAUCUCUUCUGACACUGAGGCGCGAAAGCCAGGGGAGCAAAC